AUAACAAAGGGAAGUUUGCCA
RNAcentral lists this non-coding RNA (21 nucleotides) under Arabidopsis thaliana (thale cress). The record is from RNAcentral. Lineage: Eukaryota; Viridiplantae; Streptophyta; Magnoliopsida; Brassicales; Brassicaceae.